This 472-nucleotide long non-coding RNA is filed under the name Trifolium pratense (red clover). RNAcentral's name for it is "long non-coding RNA (TPRA_LNC002432)". The record is from RNAcentral. Lineage: Eukaryota; Viridiplantae; Streptophyta; Magnoliopsida; Fabales; Fabaceae.
AGUUCUUAUGAUAUCGGUAGAUAAAAUCAAAUAAUUCAUUCCAAACAAGCCUCUAAUAAUAAGUGAAUCAUACAAACAACUCAAAAUAGUAAAACACAAUUAGUACAUACAAACAACUCUAACCAUGUACCACAUUUGAAUCCAAAUGUCAUCUCUAAAAUUCCAAUGUAUUUAUCUAUAUAGGAGAUAACAUCAUCAUCAACAUUCAACAAUGAUUUGAUCAAAAAGUUGCAACUUCUAAGAAUCGAAAAAAUAUAACACAAGCAACACCAACAUGACCAUUUUGCCUCAGAAUCGAUACACUUAACUGAGUUUAUGCAAACAAAAUCAUCAUUGCCUUACAAAUUGAGUGCUACAAAGUUUCAAAUCAUUCACCUGGAUUCAUAUAUGCUAAAACAAGGUAUGUUUGUUGUAUCUAUGAAUAAGACUAGUUCAAACUAGGAGCUACCUCUGUAGGAUUGGAGUCGAAUAC